Molecule: long non-coding RNA, 1045 nt
Filed under: Eutrema salsugineum
Lineage: Eukaryota; Viridiplantae; Streptophyta; Magnoliopsida; Brassicales; Brassicaceae
Description: long non-coding RNA (ESAL_LNC000542)
Source: RNAcentral
UUUUGCUUAUUCGUUUCUGCAACCGCCUGUAUAGUAUACUUCUUUUUUGUCAACUUUGAUUUCAUUAAAAGUUCAAAUGGGCGAUAAAGAGUUUCCAAGCCCAACAACUCCAGAAUUACAUUCAAAUUUUGCAAUAAAGCCCACUAAAAAAAACAUGUAUUGAGUUCAGAUAAAAAAAUCAACUUAACGAUGACACGCAUCUAACACGUUUUGCAAAGAGUUGAAGGAGAAAGAGUUUCGCCGCCGUCGAACCGCCACCGCGAGACUCUGAUCAGAAACUGCCACUGCGAGACUUCAUGAAGGACCAAAAACUGACAAUCUUCUACUAGUUACUGCUAACAAUUUCCAUCAAUUCUCGGCCUUCUGCUUCGAAAACCACUUACUUGCUCCUUGUUUGCCGGAAGAAACCUAUGAAUCGAGAAAUUGAGCAACCAGAGAUUUUACCUCAGCUUGAUCGGGUUUAGAGUAUUCAUUGGUGAAGCAUCAAAACACGACGGCAAUCCCCAAUUCGUCAUACUCCUCGCCAAACAGCCGCUUCAUCAUGUUAAAUCAACCAUAGAGAACCGUCGUUCAAUCAACCUUCAAGAAGAGGGAGGAUUCACGCACCGUGGAAGAAGAAACAGACACCAGUGAAACAAAGCUCAACUAGACCUUCCAGGAUUAGCAACCUCCAAGAGAAAGAAAUCAAUUGAAUCCUCAGAUUUUGACAUCUUCAACUGAAGCAAGUAGAGAAAAACCUAAAAAACAAAAUCCAAUAAGUCGGAACUUAUUACCAGUCUACGCCGGAGAUUGUUAUCCGAUCGACAGCAAAAGAUCCAGAGAAAAACUGGAAACUAAAACAAUAUUAUACAAAGAUCCAAAGCAUAUAUACAGCACGUUAUCGACAUCGGAUUAACGCAAGCACCGGCCAAAAAGAAAACUAAGAGCACUGAAGAAAAGUUUCAGAAAAUAUUAGAGAGAACUUUCUCUUUCUAGAGUUAGAGAGAGAGAAUUAAUUUUAGCACUCUAUGUAGUAUACAAGUAUUAGUCAGAUAUGGGAAACAUG